Molecule: long non-coding RNA, 4579 nt
Organism: Anas platyrhynchos (mallard)
Lineage: Eukaryota; Metazoa; Chordata; Aves; Anseriformes; Anatidae
Source: RefSeq, a predicted model, not a curated record
GAAUGGUCUUCCUUGAUUUUUUUUUAUUUUUUUUUUUUUGCAAGAGUAGGUAACUAUGACAACCUGGUGUAAGCAACUGUAUCUCUUCAUCCACAGACUGCCCGGUAGGAGGCAGGGAGAAAAAAGACUAAGCACCUUUUCAUUUGCUCAUUCUGCUCCUUCCUGUAGGCAAGAACCAGCCUCAUGCCCUCCAGAAAGCAUGGCCAAGCGCCCCAGCACACCGUGACUCCAAAUGAUGAGCAAAGAUUAAAAUAAAUCCUAGCAAAACAAAGAUCUGCCUCUGCGGGCUCUUGCCGUGUCACUUCUGGCUCCAGCCCAAGUGUUCCUAGCAAAGCACCCGCACCUGUAUCACGGGCAGCCACACUUCCUCCCAGCUAUGAGAAGUUUGUGCUGCAUAGAUAGGAGAUGCCAAUUUGAACAGUUAUUAAAGUUAUUUACGGCCCAGUAGUGUCAGACUAUUGCUGGCCAGCACUCGGAGCGCUGCUCCCUAAUGGGAUUUGGACCUCAUCUAGCGUUCAAAGGAGCCCAGGAGCCCCCGCUUUACACAAAGCAGGCUACCUCUGAUCACCCAGUUGGUAGCAUUAACCUCUGUGAGGGAGCUCAAAACAGUUGCCAAGUUCAUGUGGGCCCAGAAACCUCUGUUGCAGACUGGAGCGAGAUCCGAGCGAGAUCUUAGCAGGAAAUACGUGGCACUGCUGCACGCAGGAGGCGGUCAGCAAUAUCUUGCCUUUGUGAGAGAGGGGAGGAAUCCAGGCAACGGGAACUGGAAGGAAUUGCUUCGCGUGGAGGCAAAAAUCCAAUUUGCCCUGUUCGAGGGAGGAAAUCACAGGCUGGAAACAGCUUGGGACUGGGCCACUGGCUCAGAAGGAGCAGAAUACUGCCCGUCACCUGCGUGCCCACCAGCUCUCUGCCUUUGCAAUGGUGCAGCAGCUGCUGAGCCAGCCCACUGCGAGGUCCUGCAAGGGAAGUGGGAUAAGUGAGGAGCAAACGUGGAGUUAAACUUCUUCAGUUAUAUGCUAGAUUACCAUCAACUGCUGCAAGGCAGCCUACAGCUUUACCAUUACGUGUUCUCUAUGAGGUUCACAGAUAAUGAUGAAAAUCCAUCAACAAAAAAAUUAUUGGGAGCCAAGGUGUGCACUUGCUGAAGACCCUACAGAGGUCACCUCUGUGUGUGUAUUUGUGUGUAUUUUCACAAGAAGACUACAUCUGACCAUUCCAGGGAUUUUAAGGAUUUAUACCCCUCAGCCUGGCAAAGAUACAAAGACCACAGGGAGUUUCCAUGACACAGUAGAGGCAUCAGGGAAGAGACCUCAGCUGCAUCAAGAGUCUCCAUGGGAAUUAGCACCAUCUGCUCCACACGGCGGAGAAGGAGGGGGAAAGGGAAGGGAUGGGCAGCGCACACCAAGACGCGGUAACACGCCGCAUCUCUGCCGGGCAGAGCUGCUCACCACAGGUCAGCAGCGCCACUGAGAAGAAAAACAGGCAGCAAAGGAUUUCCUCUAAGAAGGAACAUCAGGUGCACAUAAAUACUACACAAAAAUAUACAUGGUGGUGAUCAGGAAUACAGAAGGAGAAUGAUCCCACUCGUUUCCUGGUGUACGCUGGCACACUUCCAGCAAGGUCCAUAAGGUGACCAAGAUUUACAACAGCGUGAGGAUCUGAUCCAAUGAGCUAAUUUUCUCGUAUUGCUGCGUUAUGAAUUUGGCAGAGUAAGUUCCCACUAAGGGUGCUGUCACCGUGACUUUAUUUGGAAUCAGCAGCACUGGUACAGAGGUUCCCCAGUCGGUGUAGACGUGGUGUUUACACCAGAAAAGGAGAACCUACAGAGGUCACAUUUUGUUUAAUGGAAAGAACACAACUCUCUACACACAGAGCCAAAUGUUAUUAGCCUUGCUUACUUGAGUAGUUCCAGGAUUGCCAAUGAGAGCAAGGCACCCCAAAAAUCCUAGUCUUGCUCUCCUGAAAAGUUAAUGCGAUUAGUCACAUGAGUAAAAUAUGCAAGAUUUGUCCCUUAAUGCUGAGCAAGCUAGAUGAACACUGAGUGCUCAUCCAUAAAUUAGUUACUCUGGAUGCUAUUUAAAUACAAAUAGCAAAUAAGUGAUGAUAACAGUUAUGUAUCUGAUGCUGGGUCCCAGCUGCCACGUGGGAGUUUGAGCAUUCUUCACUAUCAGGCAUCCGACAGCCAAACACUUUUGUUUGCAAUUUUAAAUGGCUGUACUGUGUUAGGACUGUUAGCAUCUCCAGAUAGUCCAAAGAAACUUGAAGAAGUUAUAAACCUGCAGAAAGAUCUGCUCAUUACUUCUGUCCCCUGAAUGUCUUUCUGUAAGUAUCCAGUUAAAAUAUAGAUCUUUCUCAUCUGUUUCAGGAAGCGCGCCAGCCUGCACAGACCAAAGUCUGAUUCAGCUUAAUGUAAGUCAUGUGAAAGGAACAGAAAAAGUAAAAUGUCACAAAGAACUUCAUUUUUGGAAAGCUUGAUGGCACUGCACAAAAUACCAGCCUGGUCAUUCUUUGAAUUUGAGUUACCAAAUACUAAUUAAAAAAAUAAAAACUAGAUCUCAGUUUCAAGAAAAGGCCUAUGUCAAAUAAAUAAAAGUAUAUGCACAAUGGACCUUGCUGCAUCUUGUUGACACAUCCCUUCUUCAUUAUGGAUUUGAAAAAUGUAAUGUUAAGCUAAACUAUCCAAUUCUACAAGCCAUUUCUUGUUGUUUUUUUUUUUGAAUUCCAAAUCCAACUACCACUAGAGUCUGUAGAAGGGCCAAAGGAGACAACCUGUCCAUUCAAACAUGGCCACAGGUUGAAAGAGCACUUUGAAACACCAUGGGUUGCUGCAGGGAGAGCAGCAGUGCUCAACGGAGCAACAGGAAGGCUGCUGGAAGUGGAGUAGCUGCCAUGCCAGUCAGCGUGUCUAGGUGGGGAUUGCUUCCCUAGCCACUGACAGCGAUCUUAAGAUCAGGUUUUCUCUCUGGUGUUAAAACACCUAUGGCUCUGAGGGAAAUAAAACAGGAUGUAAACACACAAUGUGCCGAAAUCAGCCAAGGGAUCUAGAGAAUGGUUCACAUGCCAAAAAACUCUAGUGCUAGAAACCAAGUGAACGAGGGAAAGCCCUCGGGCAGAGUCCGGAAAUUGAAGCAUACCAACUGCUUUUCUCCCUGCUACUUCAUAUCUUACACAAAACAGUCUCUCGGCUUAAAAGACAAAUACAAAGACGGCUGAUACUGGUAAUUUGACCAGCCAGAGAACUAAACUGUGCUACUUGCCAUGUUUGGGUUGCUCUGAAACACUUCAGAAGCAGUUAUGAAAUCACGCUAAACUUCAAGGAAUGCCAGAAAUGAAACUUCAGGUUGGCCCCAGUUUUCCAGGCUGGCCCCAGUCUGUGCAGGGGGAGAACCCAAGCCCUGCUAAAGAAGCGAGAUACUAGUACUACGAUUCAAGGUUAUCUUUAGCUCCAGCAAACUGAGAACUAUUUUCUGGUUAUCAAAAUAGUGCAUGCAUAAAUGAGAGAAACAGGAUGUGGCAAAACGACCAGAAUCGUUUAAAUUUUAUUCUGAAUCAGGACUCUGCCAGCCUCCACACCGUAUAUGGAACAUUUCCCCUGCAGGUGCAACAAGUUUCUGUAGGAUUUGCUCUUGCAUGUAGCAUCCCACAUACUAAUAUUUUAAUAGAUGCAACGGCUGAUUAGUUGAAUUGUAUUUUCCGGUGUGGGGGGCAGGGAGGAGAGAAGGAAGAAGAGGUGGAGAAAAGAUACGUAAACUGCAGGUUUAGGGGGGGGUUCUUCCCCUCUUGGAGGCCCAGCUGUGCAAACCAUAUGUGGUAAUAUAACAAACCACCUGGCCAAAUCAUAAGCAAGUUAGAGUAAGAGUUUGAGGGAGAAAGGCAUGAGACAUUUCACAAGGGAAUAGACCAUUCUCAAAGAGGGAUGGGAGAAUUGAUUUUCAUGACAGGAGAUAAAGCACAGCAGAUAAAAGCAGAUACUGUUUGAUCUGCCCAACAGAAAACACAAACUGGAAAAGUGACCUAGCUGAAGGAGCCAGGGAGCAGGCCACGGGAGCGACAGCCAGGCAGGUGCCGCUCCAGCAGCACAAAGCGAGGAGAUCCAAAUGGCCUCUCCGAAGGGCACAGGGGCGUCACUCGCUCUGUACAAACAGUAGGUCCCCACCUCAGUCUCCACAGAGGACCUAAUCUUUAGCAGCCACUCUAAACUAAGUUGCAUGCAGUGGAGUAUGUAUGUUCCUAAGAGAGCCUUGUCAGCAGGAAAAGGACAUUAAUCAUUUGUGUUCGCCAGACCCAAUGUAAAAAGUGGAUGGUUUCACAGACAGCCCUUUCCACAGGUACUUCCUCCGUCCUGCCAGGCAUAUCUGAAGGUUUUACUUCCAUGACUACUGAAAAGCUUCUAUAAGCCCAGGCCAUGUGAUGAAGAUUUAACCGAUUUGUUGAUCCAUAAAUGAUUUAGCUGAAGGCAGUUAUUCUCUGCCCACUAGACUCCCUGUGACCCCCUGCCCUCAAUGUAGUUUGGGUUCAUUUGGGUUUGGAAGCAGGAUUGUCACUACCGUUAUGAAACACUCUGUGAACAAAUGCCCCC